Molecule: long non-coding RNA, 1589 nt
Organism: Gallus gallus (chicken)
Lineage: Eukaryota; Metazoa; Chordata; Aves; Galliformes; Phasianidae
Source: Ensembl
CUCACAUUCCUCAAGAACCCAGGCCGCACUGGCAGGGGCAGCCCAGUUCUGGGCUUGUUUCUGGGCUGGGGGUGCCACCGUGUUCAGGGUACAUGGCAGGUGCAGGGCUGCUUCCAGCUGCGUCACAGCUUGGGCUUUCGGUCCUGCACGUGGGCUCUGCUGCCAGGUCUGAGGGGAAACGUUUCUAAGCUCAGGGAGGGAAGGCUUAGGCUAGAUGCCAGGAGGAAGUUCUUCACAGAGAGAGAGCUGAGGUGCUGGGAUAGGCAGCCCACAGACGUUGUGGGUGCUCCAUCCCUGGAGGUCUUUGGAGCUGAUGACAUCUCAGCAGGCUCUGCAACCGCUCCAACCCUCCAACGGAGGCGGCAGUUGCUCCGACUGUCAUGACGGAGCCUGCAGCUGCUUCAACCCUGGUGACAGGCCCUGCCGUUGUGACGGGCCCUGUGGUUGACACGGGCCCUCUAGUUGCUCCAACCCCUGUGACAGGGCGCUGCAGCUGCUCCCGGCCCUGUGAGAGAACUCGUGUGGUUCAGCCACAGAACCCAUCUGUGCCACUGCCAGAUGCCUGUGUAUACAAGAGUAAAUGGCUGAAAAAGUCGGAGAGUUUAGAAAGGAAAUAACCUUUCAGUAGGAUGGGAACGGGUGAAGAGGAUGAGAACGAAGCCGAGCCAUCGCAAGAAAUCUGCGGGAAACACUUCAGGGAGAGGCAGGGACCCGCAGUCCCCUCACAGAGUGCAAGCACAGGGGCUCUGAGGCGCUGUGAGCAGAGCCAGGAGUGCCGGGUCAGAUCCUGAACGUACAAAGGCUCCUCUCAGGGGUCAAAUCCUGAACGUACAAAGGCUCCUCUCAGGGGCCGUGCUCAACCAGGAGCGUGGCUGAACAGAGCCAGCAAACGGACUGUGGCACAGCCUCUGGUGCCGCCACGGCGAGCAGGGAAUGCAGAAUCUCCCUCCCCACUCAGGAGGCCACCUCACCUAUUGGCUUCCUCCUCAACAACAAACCUAGCCGUGGCCUCCACCAGGAAGAAAGCUCUUGCCCAAAAGAACGCAGCUACCCAAACUGAGUGCCUACCCAGGAAUACAGCUCUUCAGGUCUCGGGCCGCACGGAGUGCCCGAGCCUGCUGCUGCCAUCCGAGGGCGGCAGAGAGACCACCUGCAUGAGGUGAGAGCAGGUGGAUGGUCUGCUCAGCCUGGUGGCAGCGCUCUCGGGGGAGCUGGGGACACUAAGCAAUGCCAGGCAAUUAGAAUCACAGGAUGCUUUGGGCUGGAAGGGACCUUUCACACCAUCUCGUUCCAGCCCCCCCGCCAUAGGCAGGGACGCCAACCACCACACCAGGCUGCUCACAGCUCCAUCCAGCCCGGCCUUGAAUGCUUCCAGGGAGGGGGCAUCCACAGCCUCCUUGGGCAACUUGUUCCAGUGUCUCACCACCCUCACAGUAAUGCAUUUCUCGUUAAUAUUUAGUCUGAAUCAACCCACUUCCAGGUCAAAGCCAUUUCCCCUCGUCCUGUCGCAACAUGCCCUUGUAAAAUGUCCCUCCCCAGCUUUUCUGUAGCCCCCAUUCGAGUACUGACGGGCCGCUAUAACGUCUCCU